This 97-nucleotide ribosomal RNA is filed under the name uncultured bacterium. RNAcentral describes it as "partial 16S ribosomal RNA". It matches the Rfam family "Bacterial small subunit ribosomal RNA", at positions 395 to 508 of the family's 1533-position model. The record is from RNAcentral.
CGCCGCGUGCAGGAUGACACUUUUCGGAGCGUAAACUGCUUUUCUGAGGGACGAGUAAGGACGGUACCUCAGGAAUAAGCCCCGGCUAACUACGUGC